This 758-nucleotide ribosomal RNA is filed under the name uncultured Enterobacteriaceae bacterium. Its description in RNAcentral is "bacterial SSU rRNA". It matches the Rfam family "Bacterial small subunit ribosomal RNA", at positions 28 to 776 of the family's 1533-position model. The record is from RNAcentral. Lineage: Bacteria; Pseudomonadati; Pseudomonadota; Gammaproteobacteria; Enterobacterales; Enterobacteriaceae.
AUUGAACGCUGGCGGCAGGCCUAACACAUGCAAGUCGAGCGGCAGCGGAAAGUAGCUUGCUACUUUGCCGGCGAGCGGCGGACGGGUGAGUAAUGUCUGGGAAACUGCCUGAUGGAGGGGGAUAACUACUGGAAACGGUAGCUAAUACCGCAUGACCUCGCAAGAGCAAAGUGGGGGACCUUCGGGCCUCACGCCAUCGGAUGUGCCCAGAUGGGAUUAGCUAGUAGGUGGGGUAAUGGCUCACCUAGGCGACGAUCCCUAGCUGGUCUGAGAGGAUGACCAGCCACACUGGAACUGAGACACGGUCCAGACUCCUACGGGAGGCAGCAGUGGGGAAUAUUGCACAAUGGGCGCAAGCCUGAUGCAGCCAUGCCGCGUGUGUGAAGAAGGCCUUCGGGUUGUAAAGCACUUUCAGCGAGGAGGAAGGGGUUGAGUUUAAUACGCUCAAUCAUUGACGUUACUCGCAGAAGAAGCACCGGCUAACUCCGUGCCAGCGGCCGCGGUAAUACGGAGGGUGCAAGCGUUAAUCGGAAUUACUGGGCGUAAAGCGCACGCAGGCGGUUUGUUAAGUCAGAUGUGAGAUCCCCGCGCUUAACGUGGGAACUGCAUUUGAAACUGGCAAGCUAGAGUCUUGUAGAGGGGGGUAGAAUUCCAGGUGUAGCGGUGAAAUGCGUAGAGAUCUGGAGGAAUACCGGUGGCGAAGGCGGCCCCCUGGACAAAGACUGACGCUCGGUGCGAAAGCGUGGGGAGCAAACAGG